RNAcentral lists this ribosomal RNA (253 nucleotides) under uncultured bacterium. RNAcentral's name for it is "partial 16S ribosomal RNA". It matches the Rfam family "Bacterial small subunit ribosomal RNA", at positions 524 to 776 of the family's 1533-position model. The record is from RNAcentral.
UACGUAGGUGGCAAGCGUUGUCCGGAUUUACUGGGUGUAAAGGGCGCGUAGGCGGGUAUGCAAGUCAGAUGUGAAAUUUAUGGGCUUAACCCAUAAACUGCAUUUGAAACUGUGUAUCUUGAGUGAUGGAGAGGUAAGUGGAAUUCCUAGUGUAGCGGUGGAAUGCGUAGAUAUUAGGAGGAACACCAGUGGCGAAGGCGACUUACUGGACAUUAACUGACGCUGAGGCGCGAAAGCGUGGGGAGCAAACAGG